GGCAGCAUCUAUUAUGGACCCCUAAAAAUGGGGGUUUAUGGUGCACCAAGCCAUUUUUACUGCGGUCCCACCUCAAUUUAAAAUUUGAUUAUUUUAAGUAAUAAUACAAGAUUACGUUUUUGCCCCUGAACUAAUCUUUUCAUUUUUUCUCUUUCUCUUUCUCUGAGGAAUAACGACACACUCCGCUUCUCUUCUCCACCCACCACCCACGAACUCAUCUUCUCAUCUCCACUUAUCAUGUAAUAUGAGGUGAUUUAAAGAAAGAUUUGGGUUUUGUUAUUUUAUAAAUUUUUGAGUUUGUACCAUGAACUUCUCGGUUUUGUUAUGAAUUCCUGAGUUUGUGCCAUGAACCCUUUGCAAUGGAAGAAGAAGAAGAAGAAGGAUGACGGAUGGAAGAAGAUGAUGAUGAAUUUUAUGAUAAAAUUUUUUUUUUAAAAAAAUGAACAUAUUGGAAGAGGGAGUUCAACGUUACAGAGAUGAAGUGAAAGAGAAAUGAAACUAAAAUUGAGACUUGGCUCUUGGUCACAUAGAUGAAUGGUUUGCUUGUAUUAAUAGAAAAAAAAAUUGGGAUCCAAGGUUUUUGUUGUUGAUAUUUGGCGUGAGGUGAGAGAGAAAAGAAGUAGAAGGUUUUUGUUUCUUUGCAAUUCAAUUCAAUAUGAGUUGUUGUUCCUCAUCGUGAGAGAGAGAAAAAAAAUGAGAUUUUGGAAUUUGCUCCCUUGAAGAGAUAAGAGGGAAAACAUGUGGCUGAGAGGAAAAAAAC
RNAcentral lists this long non-coding RNA (760 nucleotides) under Trifolium pratense (red clover). RNAcentral's name for it is "long non-coding RNA (TPRA_LNC012164)". Lineage: Eukaryota; Viridiplantae; Streptophyta; Magnoliopsida; Fabales; Fabaceae. The record is from RNAcentral.